CGUGUAGCCGGGCCGACAAGUCAGAUGUGAAAUCCGCGGGCUUAACCCGCGAACUGCAUUUGAAACUGUUGGUCUUGAGUAUCGGAGAGGUAAUCGGAAUUCCUAGUGUAGCGGUGAAAUGCGUAGAUAUUAGGAAGAACACCAGUGGCGAAGGCGGAUUACUGGACGACAACUGACGGUGAGGCGCGAAAGCGUGGGGAGCAAACAG
This 208-nucleotide ribosomal RNA is filed under the name uncultured bacterium. RNAcentral describes it as "partial 16S ribosomal RNA". It matches the Rfam family "Bacterial small subunit ribosomal RNA", at positions 568 to 775 of the family's 1533-position model. The record is from RNAcentral.